UUUUGUAAAUACUAUUAUUUUUUUAUCUUUUUACUUUAAAUACAUAAUAUAACUUGACAGCAUUUUGUUUUCUUUUCUAAAAUAUAUCGUAUAUUAAAUAACAAAAUUUUAUUUGUCGGUAAAGCUAGAGGUUCCGAGAAUAAGUCUUUAAGUAUACCUUACAUGAAGAAUCAUAUAUUUUUCGUUUUAUUUUCUUUUUGUUUGGCGCGCGUGUGUGCUCGAUCGCUGGUCAAUAGGAGCACUGACCCAUGCUCCAUUACCAAACGAGCCACUUGCAACAAACAAGUGUGCCUUCAAGUACAACUCUUCAUAUAAUAACUCUUAAUCCAAUUUAUAUCUGGAGUAACUAUUUUUUUCUUUUCUUUUGGAGUUUUUGGGUGUGCUCGUAUUCCAUGGUCGGUGGGAGCUCUGACCCAUGCAGCCAUGCUCAUAUACCAACGAGCCACUUGCAACAAACACGUUCAGUAACAGUUAUCAUAUUCUUGUAAAAAAUAUUUAAUCAACCAGGCCAAACUUCAAAGUGGUUUUAGGCUUUUAGUGCUUAACAAAGGUUGUUUUUUGUGUAUUCCAAUUUUGUUUUUCAGUAAUUAAGUGGUUAAAAAAUAAGUGGUUAAAGACAAGAUAUUUCAAAGACUUCUUACAAACACAUUAGACCAUGAAUAUCAGGGGUCCUUAAUAAGGGUUUUAAACAAAAGUAAUGAUUUAAUUAAAUCAAAAUUAAUUAAAAGGAGAAUAAUUGAUCUUUAGCUUAGGUUUUUUGUGAUCGAUUUUUAGGGUGGUUUCCAACCACGUGUCAGCAAAGCACUGGACCUAUUAUUUUUUCCUUUUUUUUCUUUCUUUUGUUUUAUCACCGAUUCAUCUUCUUGUUUUCUCCGUAAGACGAAAGAGGCAAAUCGACAACCUCUCCUCCGACUUCUCCGUCGAAACCGAGGACGACUCUCUUGGUCCUAACGGAGUCUCGUCCCACUUGUCUCGUCUUCUUCGUCAGGAGAAGUACCCAAAGCCACGACGGACGACGACUCUGUCGGUGUUGACGGUGUUUCCUCCGUCUCGCUCACGAUCUCUUCAAUUUGGAGAUAAGUUCCCAAAUAUUUAACUUCACCUCAUCCUUCUCAUUUCAGUUUCAACCUUGUCGUUUCAAUAUCUCGGGUUACGAUUACGGUUUUUUAGUUUUGUGAGUAAUUGUAAAGGUUUGGUCUUUGAUCGACGAUUGUAGGCUUCUUACAUGUUUAUUGGGUUUUUUCUGAUUGUUUAGUUAAAAAGUCAUGAGGAAACACUGAUUGUUUAUUGGUGGUUAAGGUGAAACAGGUUUGUAAAAUGUGUAGAUCAGAUCAGACAUGAGCUUUGAGUGUAGAGUAAUUUGGUCUGAAAUCGCUGUAGGUCGUCUUCUGAUCUGUUCAAGUUGACAGGAAGUUAAGAGUGUCGUGUAGUGUGAUCUGUUUUCUAGCUAGAUCAUCUUCUAAUUUGUUCAUAUUGACUUACUACGGUAGUAGGAGAACAAUAGUGUAUUGCUUCCUAUUGCUUUUGAUUUGGUCAUUGCUUUUCUCGUUUCAUGUACCAACCGUGACUUGUUUCCAUUGAUUUGUUAUGAAUAUGCAGAGACUUGUGUUUGAUUAUACGGUUAUUUGGUCAUUGUUAUGAAUAUGCUUUUGAUUUGGUUAUUGUUAUGAAUAUGCUUUUUAUUUGGUUAUUUGUGAAUGCUAAUUAGGGUAGGUUAUACAACUAAAAUAAUUGAUUUAUAUUAUUUGGUUUGUAGUGGUUUGCAUUGAUGAAUCAUGUGAGGAGGCAAAGAUCAGAAUGAGGAGCCGAAGACAGAUCAGAAUGAGGAGCCAAAGACUACUUGAGACUCUCGAGAGACAAAGGCUUGUGGAUCUUGUCCCUGGAAUGCAACUCCCUCUUUGUCGACAAAGCCGUUGCUAUCAUUUUGAGAGUUGUUGAAGCUUGAAGAUUUGAUUGAACAACUAAAGUCAGUGGAAGUCACGGGAUUGUUUGUAUGUUGUUUGUAUGUCACGAGUAUGUGUAAGUAUGUGUCUGGUCAGUGGAAGUCACGGGAUUGUUUGUGUCGAGUUUUGUAUGUAUGUGUCACGAGUAUUGGCUUCCACUGUAUG
This is a long non-coding RNA of Brassica napus (rape), 2108 nucleotides long. RefSeq lists it as uncharacterized. Lineage: Eukaryota; Viridiplantae; Streptophyta; Magnoliopsida; Brassicales; Brassicaceae. The record is from RefSeq and is a predicted model, not a curated record. The transcript has 3 exons.